This 253-nucleotide ribosomal RNA is filed under the name uncultured bacterium. Its description in RNAcentral is "partial 16S ribosomal RNA". It matches the Rfam family "Bacterial small subunit ribosomal RNA", at positions 524 to 776 of the family's 1533-position model. The record is from RNAcentral.
UACGUAGGGAGCAAGCGUUGUUCGGAUUUACUGGGCGUAAAGGGCGCGUAGGCGGCGCGGUAAGUCACUUGUGAAAUCUCUGAGCUUAACUCAGAACGGCCAAGUGAUACUGCAGUGCUAGAGUGCAGAAAGGGCAAUCGGAAUUCUUGGUGUAGCGGUGAAAUGCGUAGAUAUCGGAAGGAACAUCAGUGGCGAAAGCGACUUCCUGGACCAAUACUGACGCUCAUGUGCGAAAGCGUGGGGAGCAAACAGG